Macaca mulatta (Rhesus monkey) is the source of this 3083-nucleotide long non-coding RNA. The record is from Ensembl. Lineage: Eukaryota; Metazoa; Chordata; Mammalia; Primates; Cercopithecidae.
AUGAAGGCUAUUUUUGAAGAAUUAAUUUUCCUCACGUUUAAACUUGUUUUCCUGUUAGAGAUACAACCUAACCAGCUACCCAGUUCUUUGUGCCAUGAAACUCCUUCAGAAUAUCUGGUUUAUUUUACUGAGAGUGCUGCAUCUAAAUCACUUCUCCAAAGUUACCAGGAGAGGACUCUAAGGUCACACCCGCCCCAGAUGGUCUUGACAAAUGUGAACACUGAGCAUGAAAAGCAGGAAAUGCAGGAGAACAAGACAGAGGAAAUGGUAGAUUCAUCCUUUGUGUCUUUCAAGGAGACAUGGCGAACAAAAGUCCAUGAUAAGCUGUAAAUUUGAAGACAAAUCAUGAAAAAAUAAUUACCAUGUAACUGUAGUAAAUUCCCAGGUGCGUGGGGAAGAGACACUUCCAUGUUUUAGAAGACGAGUUACACUCGAGUCCCAAGAAGGAAGAUCUGAGUGGUAGAUGUUUCCAUUUUUAUAUUACUAAUGAUGAAACUAAGGCUCAGAGAAGUAAAGGAGCUUGCCUAAGAUGCUCUGAAAAUAUAUGGGAGAAACCAUCAAUCUCAUGAUUAUAAUAAAUGAUAAUAAAUGAUAGAAUAAAGAAGAGCCCAUAAGAGAGAGGAAAAUAAACUUCAGGGCACUGUGAAAGAAGGCCUGGCAAAUGCAACCUACAAUCCAUUUUGUGAUAUUGAUGAACUGUAAUGUUGAUUUACCCUGUUUUUUUCACCAAAGGAAGCCAUUGAGCUACGGUUAUAAGAUUUCUUCUUGGACAUUUGAAACUGAGACUUUCCAAAUUCUUAUUUUUCAGAAGUUGAUGAAUUUCAGCCCUAGGCAGGAUUUUUAUAAAACAAAUUUAGGGGAGAAUACAUUUUAGAUAAUUUCUUUGUGCUGCCAUUUAUCACCUGUUGGUUGAAGAUCUGUGUUUUAGGUGAUGCUGUUGUAAGUAGUACUGCAAACACUUUCUGCUUUUAAGUGUGUACAGCUCUCAGAAUCUGAAUUACAUGGUAUAGUGCUUUUGUAAAGUGUAUGUUUUCAAUGGUAUAAAGUUUAUUUCGAUGUUUUAAAUCAUCGAUCUCCUGUGCAUAGAUUUUGUUGUUUUUUGCUUUUUCUACAUUGUUACAAAUAUAUCCCAGUCACUAGGCCAUAGUUGUCUAGGUUUUCGUCAAGGUGUUUCUUUUUUCCAUGUCUUUUCCCAGAGACUUUCCAAGCUCUAGGAUUCAAGGCAGACCUCUCAUACCUCUUAGAUCUUACUUAAAUCUGAUUUGGGCUUCAGGGAAAACAUUAAAGACACAACCAGUACCUGAAACUUUUAGCCUCAGUGUUCUCAUUUAUCCUUGGUCACUUCCCCUAGCCUAUGAAGGGAAUUUCCGAUUGAGUUCUGCAUCUCUGAUUUUUAAAUUUUUGAUCAUAAUUCAUUUUUCCUGAGAAAGCAUUUUUGUAUUUUAGGAGUAUAAACCCAAGAAUUCACAAUGGUAUUUUUUCUUAUAGGAAUGCAUGAGAUGUUUGCCUUUCUAAAAAUAAAUGUAAAACCUAUAAACUAUGUGAUUAUACUUUCCCAAGUUUCUAGGAAUCAACCCAAGUGAAAUUAUUAUAAACAUAUAAGAAAUCAUGUCUACCACUGAAAAUAUAAAAUUUAACAGAACCUGUAAUCAGCAAUUUCUUCGUUUUCCUUGUCUUACUGUUCCUUCUUAUAAUUGUUGACAGACACGCAUUGUAAAAAGAAUGAGAGUUCAGUAUUUGUGGGAAAGAAUUUCCGAGUUAUUUCUAGUAAUUCCCUUGCUCCCUUAAUUAGCCAGUAUGGGAUUUUUUUUUUAAUGUGUAGAAGACUUUAUUUUGUUAACACUUGCUCUAAUCCAACUUAAUAAAGUGGAAGUUUUCUCUGUCCGCUGAUGCUAUGGGAAAUCUGAGAAUUCAGGCUCUGUCCAUUGCUGUUGGUCCAUUCCCCUGAAAAUGAUCUUUAGUUUUUGGUCUACUAGAGAAAAAUAAUGAUUUUUAUGGCUCAAAAGUGUCUUUUUAAAAUAGAGAUUUUUUGGAUGAUAUCUUUCAACUCACCUUUUAUGUUUUCUGAAUAAAUAAUCCUGUGGAUAAAUGCCCUUUUAUAUAUGUGUGACAAGUAGUUGAAUAGACAAAACUUCUAGUUGAAGAAAUAAUUCUAUACUUUUUUAAAAUUAAGAAUUACUAUUUAUUUAUUUAUUUAUUUAUUUAUUUAUUUAUUUAUUUUUGAGACAGAGUCUGGCUCUGUGCCCAGGCUGAAGUGCAAUGGCACGAUCUCAGCUCACUGCAACCUCGACCUCUGAGGUUUCAGUGAUUCUCCUGCCUCAGCCUCCUGAGGAGCUGGGACUACAGACACGCACCACCACACCCAGCUAAUUUUUUUUUUUUUUUUUGUAUUUUUAGUAGAGAUGGGGUUUCAUCAUUUUGGCCAGGAUGGUUUCGAUCUCUUGAACUUGUGAUCCACCCGCCUCAGCCUCCCAAAGUGCUGGGAUUAUAGGCGUGAGCUACUACACCUGGCCCAAGAAUUACUUUUUAAGUGAAAAUCCACAGAUUCUUGUUUUAUAUUUUUGGAUUUUCAAAUCUUGAUAUCCUUUCAAGAAAGGCAUAGUCUUUAUAAAUAAUAUUCAAAAAAGUAUUAACAUAAAUACUAUGUAUGUUCAUGUAAUUUCAGAGCUUCACUAUGUAUACCCAUAUAUGUAUAUGUGUAUAUAUGUGUGCCUGUGUGUGCGUAUGUUUCUGGUACAAAUUGAUUUAAUAAACUAUUUGAAGAAAAAACUAUCCCUGAUUACCUAACUCAUAUUUUAUCAUAUGAAAUUUAGCACAUGGUAUAGUUUGUUUUAUUCCGUGUUUCCGAAUUGUUUUAGUUGUCAUUAGUACUCUCUGAUAGUUACCAAAAAAAUAGUUGUAAAUAUUUGUAACAUCAAUCUUGUUUCACCUUUGGUUUAAUAGUCUAAAAUUCUUUGAUCCUGAAUACAAAGAGAAGUCCCAGAACAUUUAGGAAGAUUGAUGGAAGGGUAAUUGGAACCCAGGACUACAUUCUAUCUACACAUCCACCUAGUAAGAUAGAGGCUGACUGCUGAAACUGCAGG